RNAcentral lists this ribosomal RNA (300 nucleotides) under uncultured Alteromonadales bacterium. RNAcentral's name for it is "bacterial SSU rRNA". It matches the Rfam family "Bacterial small subunit ribosomal RNA", at positions 114 to 415 of the family's 1533-position model. Lineage: Bacteria; Pseudomonadati; Pseudomonadota; Gammaproteobacteria; Alteromonadales. The record is from RNAcentral.
CGCGUAGGAAUCUACCUAGUAGUGGGGACAACAUGUGGAAACGCAUGCUAAUACCGCAUACGCCCUACGGGGAAAGGGACCGGGAGUCUUCGGACCGGUCGCUAUUAGAUGAGCCUGCGUAAGAUUAGCUAGUUGGUGGGGUAAAGGCCUACCAAGGCGACGAUCUUUAGCUGGUCUGAGAGGAUGAUCAGUCACACUGGAACUGAGACACGGUCCAGACUCCUACGGGAGGCAGCAGUGGGGAAUAUUGCGCAAUGGGGGAAACCCGUGACGCAGCCAUGCCGCGUGUGUGAAGAAGGC